GGAGCUGUGGUGUAGAGCGCCUAACAUGCCUGCCUGUCACGCAGGAGACCGCGGGUUCGAAUCCCGUCAGCUCCG
RNAcentral lists this transfer RNA (75 nucleotides) under Paenibacillus larvae. Its description in RNAcentral is "tRNA-Asp". It matches the Rfam family "tRNA". From Rfam's summary of the family: Transfer RNA (tRNA) molecules are approximately 80 nucleotides in length. Their secondary structure includes four short double-helical elements and three loops (D, anti-codon, and T loops). Lineage: Bacteria; Bacillati; Bacillota; Bacilli; Caryophanales; Paenibacillaceae. The record is from RNAcentral.